GAGGCGCUGGCGGGCGUGGAGUACCACGAGACGCUGCAACCGCUGCUGGCCCAGCUCCCCGAGCGGGAGCGGCGGAUCCUGCUGCUGCGGUUCU
RNAcentral lists this transfer RNA (94 nucleotides) under Actinokineospora sp. NBRC 105648. RNAcentral's name for it is "tRNA-Cys". The record is from RNAcentral. Lineage: Bacteria; Bacillati; Actinomycetota; Actinomycetes; Pseudonocardiales; Pseudonocardiaceae.